CAGGCCGGCCUGCAAGACUGCAGUCGACGCUGAUUUCAGGAUAGCAAUAUUUUGAAGUCGGAGUGGCGCAAGGGUGCGUAACACGUGGGCAACCUGCCCUGAAGUUCGGGAUAACUCGCUGAAAGGCGAGCUAAUACCGGAUGCGCAUUUCAGAAGGCAUCUUCUGAAAUGUAAAGUUGAGGACCGAAAGGCUUGACGCUUCUGGAUGGGCCCGCGGCCUAUCAGCUAGUUGGUGAGGUAACAGCUCACCAAGGCUAAGACGGGUAGCUGGUCUGAGAGGACGACCAGCCACACUGGAACUGAGACACGGUCCAGACACCUACGGGUGGCAGCAGUCGAGAAUUUUUCUCAAUGGGCGAAAGCCUGAAGGAGCGACGCCGCGUGGGGGAUGAAGGGCUUCGGCUCGUAAACCCCUGUCAUUCGCGAACAAUUCCUCCAGCCUAACACGUUGGAGGUUGAUGGUAGCGGAAGAGGAAGGGACGGCUAACUCUGUGCCAGCAGCCGCGGUAAUACAGAGGUCCCAAGCGUUGUUCGGAUUCACUGGGCGUAAAGGGUGCGUAGGCGGCGGGGAAAGUUUGAUGUGAAAGCUCCGGGCUUAACCCGGAAAUUGCAUUGAAAACUCCCCCGCUAGAGGAUUGGAAGGGAGACUGGAAUUCUCGGUGUAGCAGUGAAAUGCGUAGAUAUCGAGAGGAACAUCAGUGGCGAAGGCGAGUCUCUGGACAAUUCCUGACGCUGAGGCACGAAAGCCAGGGUAGCAAACGGGAUUAGAUACCCCGGUAGUCCUGGCCCUAAACGGUGCGCAUUUGCUGUGAGAGGAUUCGACCCCUUUCGUGGCGAAGCUAACGCGAUAAAUGCGCCGCCUGGGGAGUACGGUCGCAAGAUUAAAACUCAAAGGAAUUGACGG
RNAcentral lists this ribosomal RNA (904 nucleotides) under uncultured Verrucomicrobiota bacterium. RNAcentral describes it as "bacterial SSU rRNA". It matches the Rfam family "Bacterial small subunit ribosomal RNA", at positions 36 to 916 of the family's 1533-position model. Lineage: Bacteria; Pseudomonadati; Verrucomicrobiota. The record is from RNAcentral.